RNAcentral lists this ribosomal RNA (226 nucleotides) under uncultured Emticicia sp. RNAcentral's name for it is "partial 16S ribosomal RNA". It matches the Rfam family "Bacterial small subunit ribosomal RNA", at positions 568 to 792 of the family's 1533-position model. The record is from RNAcentral. Lineage: Bacteria; Pseudomonadati; Bacteroidota; Cytophagia; Cytophagales; Leadbetterellaceae.
AGCGUAGGCGGCUGAUUAAGUCAGCGGUGAAAGGUAGCAGCUUAACUGUUUUACAUGCCGUUGAUACUGGUUAGCUUGAGUUGACAGAAGGCAGAUAGAAUUCCUGAUGUAGCAGUGAAAUGCGUAGAUAUGCGGAGGAACACCGAUGGCGAAGGCAAUCCCCUGGGCCUGCACUGACGCUCAUGCACGAAAGCGUGGGGAGCAAACAGGAUUAGAUACCCCUGUA